AAACAAAUAUGAACGAAGGCAACAAUUUCCCUAUUGUAUUAAGAAUUUUACUAUUACCUGAUCCCACCUUCAAUAUUUUUGCACAGAGAACACCAGAUACAAGAUUCUAUGAGCAAUUAACUCUUUUUCAUGACGUUUUUCGUUUACAGUAGUAUGGACAAUAUAUAUGUAUAUACUCUCUACUCUGUCUUGUCUUCUUCUACGUCACCACCAUUAGAUGUCCCAUCUCCACCAGGCGUUGAUCUCACUUCGAAUGGAAUUCUUACAUCCUUUGAUGGCAGAGGGGAGGGUUUUAUGAGUGUCAAGGUGAUAUCCUUAUCAAACUCUUCACUAUCAUCAGAAUAGGCAUAUCUCAUGGAGUUUUGA
This 366-nucleotide unclassified non-coding RNA is filed under the name Hevea brasiliensis (rubber tree). Lineage: Eukaryota; Viridiplantae; Streptophyta; Magnoliopsida; Malpighiales; Euphorbiaceae. The record is from RNAcentral.